This 440-nucleotide ribosomal RNA is filed under the name uncultured bacterium. RNAcentral's name for it is "partial 16S ribosomal RNA". It matches the Rfam family "Bacterial small subunit ribosomal RNA", at positions 338 to 795 of the family's 1533-position model. The record is from RNAcentral.
CCUACGGGAGGCAGCAGUGGGGAAUAUUGCACAAUGGGGGAAACCCUGAUGCAGCAACGCCGCGUGAGUGAAGCAGUAUUUCGGUAUGUAAAGCUCUAUCAGCAGGGAAGAAAAUGACAGUACCUGACUAAGAAGCCCCGGCUAACUACGUGCCAGCAGCCGCGGUAAUACGUAGGGGGCAAGCGUUAUCCGGAUUUAAUGGGUUGAAAGGGAGCGUAGACGGCUGCGCAAGUCAGAAGUGAAAGCCCGGGGCUCAACCGCGGGACUGCUUUUGAAACUGUGUAGCUAGAGUGCAGGAGAGGUAAGUGGAAUUCCUAGUGUAGCGGUGAAAUGCGUAGAUAUUAGGAGGAACACCGGUGGCGAAGGCGGCUUACUGGACUGUAACUGACGUUGAGGCUCGAAAGCGUGGGGAGCAAACAGGAUUAGAUACCCGAGUAGUC